This 513-nucleotide ribosomal RNA is filed under the name uncultured organism. RNAcentral describes it as "bacterial SSU rRNA". It matches the Rfam family "Bacterial small subunit ribosomal RNA", at positions 28 to 507 of the family's 1533-position model. The record is from RNAcentral.
GACGAACGCUGGCGGCGUGCUUAACACAUGCAAGUCGAACGGGAGGAAAAGAGAAGCUUGCUUCUUUUUGAAUCUAGUGGCAAACGGGUGAGUAACACGUAAACAACCUGCCUUCAGGAUGGGGACAACAGACGGAAACGACUGCUAAUACCGAAUGUGUUCCGGAGACCGCAUGAUUUCCGGAAGAAAGGAUGGCCUCUAUUUAUAAGCUAUCGCCUGAAGAGGGGUUUGCGUCUGAUUAGGCAGUUGGUGAGGUAACGGCCCACCAAACCUACGAUCAGUAGCCGGUCUGAGAGGAUGAACGGCCACACUGGAACUGAGACACGGUCCAGACUCCUACGGGAGGCAGCAGUGGGGAAUCUUCCGCAAUGGACGAAAGUCUGACGGAGCAACGCCGCGUGAGUGAUGACGGCCUUCGGGUUGUAAAGCUCUGUGAUCGGGGACGAAUGGCUGGUAUGCUAAUACCAUAUCAGAGUGACGGUACCCGAAUAGCAAGCCACGGCUAACUACGUG